UGGGCGUGGGCGUGGACUCUCUCUCUCUCUCUCUCUCUCUCUCUCUCUCUCUCUCUCUCUACCGCCGGCCACCGUACUCGUCCCUCCGCUCCACCUCGGACCGGCCGCGCUGCCGCGAGCAGUGGCCGCCGUCGUUUCCCUAGCCCACGCGUUAAGAUAUAUUGGAAGAAUGCAUGUGUGUACGAUACAUGUGCAUAUGAGUACACGAAGACACCGUAGUACCACAGCUAGCUACGUUGCGUCGGUGCGCUAGCACCUCCUCGACCGCCCCGUGCCCCGCGCCCAUGUGUGCACGCGGGCCUCGCGCCGCCUCGACCUCCUCACGGCGGCGGCCACCCUCCGGUCCCCGGAGGGCCAGUGGCAGAGGCAGACGCUGCAGAGGGACGCGCGUGUCUCCCUCGUCGAGCACCUCUGCCAGUUCGUUCAGAAGCUGCGGUUCGAGCUGUAUGACCACUUGUUGCGCCGCGUCCGAGAACGGUUCCGCCGUCACCUCACGUGUAGCCUCCUCAUGUGCGUGGAGUACAGCUGGUUGGAUCUCGGCACGAAGGUGGAGUCGUUCGAGUGCGUGGGGAACGAGGAGCCCCGGAGGUAGCGGCCUCCUCCAUCGUAGCAGUUGUAUAGGAGGUAACCCCCGUGCGAACCCAAGGGCCCGAUGCGUGAAAUGCCAUAGUGUUUUCCUCCCUAGUUGGUCGAGUGCGCCUCGGAACGAUGGCUCACCCGGGUCUUGUUUCAAGCUCACUUAACGCAACGGGGCCCGCACUGGUUCUCACCGUACAAUUUGUCACAGCGUGGGCUGUAAAAUCUCUUCCUCAACCGCUUCCAAGGCUACGCCGCCCAUCCGCUCGGUCUCCUGCACCGACGUCACCACAGUAAGGAGACGUACGGUCGCCGUAGGAAGCAGUGACCCGUCCAGUAGUGGCAGCUACCACCAGCUUGUUAAUCACGGAUCAAUUAAUUACCGUGGAGUGGCUAUUUUAGCACACGUACAACUAGUUAAAUAUUUCAUCGGCCACUCAUGAUGGAGGCAGGGCAAUCGAACUUUUUGCAAGAAUAUAAUAUUCUGUUUUUCUCCUCAAUCGUUCCUGGACUCACAACAGGUGAUCAUAUUAAUAAAACGAUGUAAAAACUAAACAAAAAUCAAAAAUAACAUAAAUAUUUCAUCUAAACGCAUAAAUUGAUCGGUUCGUUCGCACCGGCGUGGGUACUACGUACUAGAACCUACAACCGUAACGGCAAUAACACGGAACACAUGAAAACAACAUGUUCAAUAUUUCUACACAUGUAAAACCUUGGCUUGGCUAUAUCUCGUGGUAUAUCACCACUAUAAGUAGUGUAUCUCACUUC
Molecule: ribosomal RNA, 1344 nt
Filed under: Triticum aestivum (bread wheat)
Lineage: Eukaryota; Viridiplantae; Streptophyta; Magnoliopsida; Poales; Poaceae
Description: partial small subunit ribosomal RNA
Source: RNAcentral